CGGGGAGGCGCGCUGCAGGGGGGCGCCGAGGAGCGGGUGAAGCCGUCGAGGAGCCAUGUUGGGUGUGGGAACGCUGCCGGGGCGGGGGCGGCGUGUUUGCACCGCGGCUGGACGGAGCUUCUAACAUUCUACACUCUUCUAAUUCGGUCACUGGUAAAUGCUUCAUUUACGUGUACUGCGCACGUGCAGAACGCGGGGAAGGGAACGUCGCGGUGCUGACAGACGCUGCUUCAGCUCGGUCGGUGGCUUUUCCCUGCAGGACAAACAAGGCGAGUACACGAGCACUGUGAAGUGACAUCAUGCCUCGAUUCGGGCUCCUGUCGUGAUAGCGCUGGGCAAAGGGCGCUCAGUGCUCGGGGUGCUGCGGCAGCUCGGUCGCACCGUGGGCAUUGGUUGGGAAUUGCACACGGCCUGCUGAGCACAAGGGGACGCGUGGAAAUCGCCCGAUAAACAGCGGGUGGCUGAGAUUCGGCAGGAGGAGACCUGACACUGGUGCCAGGCAACGAGGGUGAAGGUAAAAUCAAGGUUACAGAAUGUUUGAGUCCUUUUGCAGUUCUGCACGGCAGACCCGACCAAUUUCAGUUUAAAGGGGAAGCUGUGAGUCGAUGAGGUGAAAAUUAUUUACGUCCUACCGGGAUGAGCAGCCCGUGGCCUCACUGGGUUUUUCUCUUUGGCUUAUUUUCCACCUAGAGGACAGGUUACACACACCUACAGCACACAGCUCUCCUGCUGUGUCGUGAGGAUCAGAGCGAACCCCAUGGCUGUCUGAACUCUUCCAACCACAGAGGUCAGGUUCCUCAGCACAGCUGGAUCCACUCCUAGUCCCAGACGCGUUCAGGAGUUUGUGCCUGAGGGAUCCUAUGUGCACAAUCAAAGAUGCCACCUUAGUGAAGCUGACAAAGCUCAAACCAAACUGUCAGUCGCUCACUGAGGAUCCGUACCAGCAAGGUUUCUUGACAUCAAGGUGGAAAGGAUCUCUGUGCAGGCGUGACCUCAAGAGGCAUCCCUGCUCAAGGGUGUAGGAAUGGAAUGUUGUUUCUGCGUUAGAUAUUAAAAAGGGGGAAUUGAUCUGAAGCAGCAGAGCACAAUAUACUUGUACUUUGUAACUUGUCCUUAGAAAUAGCUGAUGUGAAAAAGUAGAAAUACCAUAUAUGUUAAUAACGUACUUUAGAAAUAUAGUUGCUGAACUGUGUGAUUAA
Non-coding RNA from Meleagris gallopavo (turkey), 1199 nucleotides. The record is from RefSeq and is a predicted model, not a curated record. NCBI's taxonomy places the organism in Eukaryota, Metazoa, Chordata, Aves, Galliformes, Phasianidae.